Long non-coding RNA from Homo sapiens (human), 352 nucleotides. RefSeq lists it as uncharacterized. The record is from RefSeq and is a predicted model, not a curated record. The transcript is spliced from 2 exons. NCBI's taxonomy places the organism in Eukaryota, Metazoa, Chordata, Mammalia, Primates, Hominidae.
UCUAAGUGGUGUUGCCAGCAUCUCAGAUAGCAUCCGACACUGACUCUUCUGCAGAAACAAAAUAGCGUAUUUCAGUGGCUUUAUUUGUAACUCGGCAAAUGAAGGUCCCACCUUGUUUUAAAGAUACAGUCAAUAUAGGAGGCAUGCCAAGCUAUCUUAUCCACAUUCAACACAAUUAUAAUGAAAGUAAACCAGCUCUGGAAGACAGUUCCCAGAAAUUAAUUAUCGCACAGAAAGUGAACACAACAGCCUUUUGUUAUCAUGAUAAUGAAAUCACCACCACCUUAAUACUUGACAAACUUGGCCAUGCCUCUGUUGAAUUUCUGCUGAAUAAACUGGAAAAAUGUUGCAA